GCGGAGAUGGCUCAGUGGUUAAGAGCACUGGCCGCUCUUCUAGGGAUCCUGGGUUCAAUUCCCAGCACCCACA
This 73-nucleotide transfer RNA is filed under the name Mesocricetus auratus (golden hamster). It matches the Rfam family "tRNA". From Rfam's summary of the family: Transfer RNA (tRNA) molecules are approximately 80 nucleotides in length. Their secondary structure includes four short double-helical elements and three loops (D, anti-codon, and T loops). The record is from Rfam by way of RNAcentral. Lineage: Eukaryota; Metazoa; Chordata; Mammalia; Rodentia; Cricetidae.